RNAcentral lists this ribosomal RNA (494 nucleotides) under uncultured bacterium. Its description in RNAcentral is "partial 16S ribosomal RNA". It matches the Rfam family "Bacterial small subunit ribosomal RNA", at positions 28 to 504 of the family's 1533-position model. The record is from RNAcentral.
GAUGAACGCUGGCGGCGUGCCUAAUACAUGCAAGUCGAGCGAACGGACGAGAAGCUUGCUUCUCUGAUGUUGGCGGCGGACGGGUGAGUAACACGUGGAUAACCUACCUAUAAGACUGGGAUAACUUCGGGAAACCGGAGCUAAUACCGGAUAAUAUUUUGAACCGCAUGGUUCAAAAGUGAAAGACGGUCUUGCUGUCACUUAUAGAUGGAUCCGCGCUGCAUUAGCUAGUUGGUAAGGUAACGGCUUACCAAGGCAACGAUGCAUAGCCGACCUGAGAGGGUGAUCGGCCACACUGGAACUGAGACACGGUCCAGACUCCUACGGGAGGCAGCAGUAGGGAAUCUUCCGCAAUGGGCGAAAGCCUGACGGAGCAACGCCGCGUGAGUGAUGAAGGUCUUCGGAUCGUAAAACUCUGUUAUUAGGGAAGAACAUAUGUGUAAGUAACUGUGCACAUCUUGACGGUACCUAAUCAGAAAGCCACGGCUAACUAC